This 519-nucleotide ribosomal RNA is filed under the name uncultured Penicillium. RNAcentral's name for it is "eukaryotic LSU rRNA". The stretch from base 161 to 313 matches the Rfam family "5.8S ribosomal RNA". The record is from RNAcentral. Lineage: Eukaryota; Fungi; Ascomycota; Eurotiomycetes; Eurotiales; Aspergillaceae.
UUUGGGUCACCUCCCACCCGUGUUUAUUUUACCUUGUUGCUUCGGCGGGCCCGCCUUUACUGGCCGCCGGGGGGCUCACGCCCCCGGGCCCGCGCCCGCCGAAGACACCCCCGAACUCUGUCUGAAGAUUGAAGUCUGAGUGAAAAUAUAAAUUAUUUAAAACUUUCAACAACGGAUCUCUUGGUUCCGGCAUCGAUGAAGAACGCAGCGAAAUGCGAUACGUAAUGUGAAUUGCAAAUUCAGUGAAUCAUCGAGUCUUUGAACGCACAUUGCGCCCCCUGGUAUUCCGGGGGGCAUGCCUGUCCGAGCGUCAUUGCUGCCCUCAAGCCCGGCUUGUGUGUUGGGCCCCGUCCUCCGAUUCCGGGGGACGGGCCCGAAAGGCAGCGGCGGCACCGCGUCCGGUCCUCGAGCGUAUGGGGCUUUGUCACCCGCUCUGUAGGCCCGGCCGGCGCUUGCCGAUCAACCCAAAUUUUUAUCCAGGUUGACCUCGGAUCAGGUAGGGAUACCCGCUGAACUUAA